This is a long non-coding RNA of Prunus persica (peach), 517 nucleotides long. RefSeq lists it as uncharacterized. The transcript is spliced from 3 exons. Lineage: Eukaryota; Viridiplantae; Streptophyta; Magnoliopsida; Rosales; Rosaceae. The record is from RefSeq and is a predicted model, not a curated record.
CCUUCUCUCUCUCCUCAUUUCUCUCUCCUCCCGAUUUUUGCUCCAGCCGCCCGACCUUUCCUCCUUCUCCUUGACGCCACGGCCGCCACACUUGGAACCGAUCUCCGCCGUUGGUACCAAACGAACCACCACUCGACCGCCGACGUUGCUUGACCCUUCGCCGGAGUUUCCGUGGCCGGAGCUCGCCGGAAAACUCCAUUUUCGCCGGAUUUCCAGUUUGAACUUUGAGCUCGAUUUUCUCCUUCAAUUCUCCACCAAAUCGAUCUAGUAAGGCACCAGAUGUCCAGUCGACCUGCAGGAAGGACCUUCGAAGGGUCCAAUUAGCUCGGACCAUCAGCCGUAGAAGUACGCAGGAUCCACCACCGGGCCAUCCCUAGCUUCCGCGCCACCAAGUAUUGAGUUUUGUGGAAAAGUUCUUGAAACUCUGUGAACUUUAGAAAAUGCUCUGAUAUCUAGUUUUAGUGGAAAACUGGAGUUGGUGAAUACUUGGUUAUUCUAUUCUGGUAGUUGGUGUGGA